This 535-nucleotide ribosomal RNA is filed under the name uncultured bacterium. Its description in RNAcentral is "bacterial SSU rRNA". It matches the Rfam family "Bacterial small subunit ribosomal RNA", at positions 777 to 1320 of the family's 1533-position model. The record is from RNAcentral.
AAUAGAUACCCCGGUAGUCCACGCCGUAAACUAUGGAUGCUAGCUGUUAUAGGUAUCGACCCCUGUAGUAGCGAAGCUAACGCGUUAAGCAUCCCGCCUGUGGAGUACGGUCGCAAGACUAAAACAUAAAGGAAUUGACGGGGACCCGCACAAGCGGUGGAGCGUGUUGUUUAAUUCGAUGGUAAACGAAGAACCUUACCCAGGCUUGACAUCCUUGGAAAGCAUCCGAAAGGAUACUGUGCCCUUGGGAACCAAGUGACAGGUGUUGCAUGGCCGUCGUCAGCUCGUGUCGUGAGAUGUUUGGUUAAGUCCAUCAACGAGCGCAACCCUUUUAGUCUGUUGUAUUUUUCAGGCUAGACUGCCCUGGCAACAGGGAGGAAGGAGGGGAUGAUGUCAAGGUCAGGUAUUACCCUUACGUCUGGGGCUACAAACACGCUACAAUGGCCGGUACAAAGGGCAGCCAAGUCGCGAGACGGAGCAAAAGUCCCAAUCAAAGCCGGUCUCAGUUCGGAUUGCAGGCUGAAACUCGCCUGCA